ACUAAUAGUUCUGUACAAAACAAUUCGCCAGAGAACUACUAGCAACAGCUUAAAACUCAAAGGACUUGGCGGUGCUUUAUAUCCCUCUAGAGGAGCCUGUUCUAUAAUCGAUAAACCCCGAUAAACCUCACCAUCCCUUGCUAAUACAGUCUAUAUACCGCCAUCUUCAGCAAACAAUAAA
Molecule: ribosomal RNA, 181 nt
Filed under: Vulpes vulpes (red fox)
Lineage: Eukaryota; Metazoa; Chordata; Mammalia; Carnivora; Canidae
Description: partial small subunit ribosomal RNA
Source: RNAcentral